GUCUGUUUGAAGGUUUAAAAAGUCUAGCCUGCCCGCUGAUAAAAUUAUUGAAGGGCCGCGGUAUCUUGACCGUGCGAAGGUAGCAUAAUCAUUAGUUUUUUAAUUGGAAACUUGUAUGAAUGGUUGGACAAAGAAAAAGCUGUCUCUAUAGUAGAAUUUGAAGUUAACUUUUAAGUGAGAAGGCUUAAAUAUUUUAAGGGGACGAUAAGACCCUAUAAAGCUUUAUAUAAUGAUUGAGUUUGGUUGAUGUUUAAGCAAUAAAGACUUAGUUUGAUCAUUAUAUUAUGUUGGGGCGACAUAGGUAUAAGUCAUAAUAACUGCUUAAUGAAGUAUACAAUAAUAUAUGAAUAAUGAAAGUAAAUGAUCCUUGAUAAAGAUUAGAAGGCUAAGUUACUUUAGGGAUAACAGCGUUAUUUUUUUUGAGAGUUCAUAUCGAAAAAAGAGUUUGCGACCUCGAUGUUGAAUUAAAAUAUCUGUAUAAUGUAGCCGUUAUAUUAGAAGGUCUGUUCGACCUUUAAAUUUUU
This 524-nucleotide ribosomal RNA is filed under the name Orithyia sinica. Its description in RNAcentral is "partial 16S ribosomal RNA". It matches the Rfam family "Bacterial large subunit ribosomal RNA", at positions 1831 to 2597 of the family's 2925-position model. Lineage: Eukaryota; Metazoa; Arthropoda; Malacostraca; Decapoda; Orithyiidae. The record is from RNAcentral.